RNAcentral lists this ribosomal RNA (447 nucleotides) under uncultured bacterium. RNAcentral describes it as "partial 16S ribosomal RNA". It matches the Rfam family "Bacterial small subunit ribosomal RNA", at positions 29 to 523 of the family's 1533-position model. The record is from RNAcentral.
AACGAACGCUGGCGGCAGGCUUAACACAUGCAAGUCGAACGCACCGCAAGGUGAGUGGCAGACGGGUGAGUAACGCGUGGGAACGUACCCUUUACUACGGAAUAACUCAGGGAAACUUGUGCUAAUACCGUAUGUGCCCUUCGGGGGAAAGAUUUAUCGGUAAAGGAUCGGCCCGCGUUGGAUUAGCUAGUUGGUAGGGUAAAGGCCUACCAAGGCGACGAUCCAUAGCUGGUCUGAGAGGAUGAUCAGCCACAUUGGGACUGAGACACGGCCCAAACUCCUACGGGAGGCAGCAGUGGGGAAUAUUGGACAAUGGGCGCAAGCCUGAUCCAGCCAUGCCGCGUGAGUGAUGAAGGUCUUAGGAUUGUAAAGCUCUUUCACCGGGGAAGAUAAUGACGGUACCCGGAGAAGAAGCCCCGGCUAACUUCGUGCCAGCCGCCGCGGUAA